AUGAAGGACUAUAAACACUGAAUUUAAGAAGUUUGAAUCCCAGAGAGCCCUCUAGUACUUGGUGGAGAAGCAGUGAGAGAUCUGAGCUUGGCUGGUUAGCAGGUCAUAAAGAAUCAUAGGUAUGGCUGGCUGGAAGAAUGUGGGAAUGAGUAUGAAUAGUUCAUAGAGACAUAAUUUUAAGCACUUUGAAACCCAUACCAUAUAUUUAAUUCUUCACAGUUGACUGAAAAUCAUUUUGUGGGUCUAAGAAAAGAGGACAUUAAGUACUGGAGCUGGAAGUAGAACUCAGGUCUGUGUGACUCCAAAGCUCAAGCUUUUCACCACUAUGGCAGGAAGAUGAAGUGUCCAUGAGACAAAGCAAUUCACCCUAGGGAUGUGUGGAAGAAGUUGCCAAGCCAAGAAGGGAACCAAGGAGGUUGGAAUUGGAGCUCUUUGUGUUUUCAACUUAAGGAGAGACUCAUUCCAGGGCACCUACCUGGAUCAUUUGGUGGAGCAUGCAACUCUUGAUCUCAGGGGGUUGUCAGUU
This is a long non-coding RNA of Herpailurus yagouaroundi (jaguarundi), 526 nucleotides long. RefSeq lists it as uncharacterized. The transcript is spliced from 2 exons. The record is from RefSeq and is a predicted model, not a curated record. NCBI's taxonomy places the organism in Eukaryota, Metazoa, Chordata, Mammalia, Carnivora, Felidae.